This 207-nucleotide long non-coding RNA is filed under the name Elaeis guineensis (African oil palm). Its description in RNAcentral is "long non-coding RNA (EGUI_LNC002141)". The record is from RNAcentral. Lineage: Eukaryota; Viridiplantae; Streptophyta; Magnoliopsida; Arecales; Arecaceae.
UAAUAUCGGUAUCAGCCAAGUCGCUCCUCAAGGUACGUGAGUCGGCUAUCUUGAUCUUAAAUCUUCUAACUCUGUUUGUCUUAUAAUUUGAUCAUCAUGAUCAUAGAGCUGAAUACUGAGAAGAGUUCGAGCUUGCCAAAGGAGAAGAGAAAAACUUUAUGGAAAAGAGGUGCCACGCCUGCCAUCGGAAGAAGCCUUCGGGUCAAG